UACGUAGGGGGCGAGCGUUGUCCGGAUUUAUUGGGCUUAAAGAGCUCGUAGGCGGUUCGAUAAGUCGGACGUGAAAUCUCCACGCUCAACGUGGAGGGGCCGUUUGAUACUGUCGUGACUCGAGUCCGGUAGGGGAGUGUGGAAUUCCCGGUGUAGCGGUGAAAUGCGCAGAGAUCGGGAGGAACACCCGUAGCGAAGGCGGCACUCUGGGCCGGUACUGACGCUGAGGAGCGAAAGCGUGGGGAGCAAACAGG
Molecule: ribosomal RNA, 254 nt
Filed under: uncultured bacterium
Lineage: Bacteria
Description: partial 16S ribosomal RNA
Rfam family: Bacterial small subunit ribosomal RNA
Source: RNAcentral